CGGCGCCACGAGUGGCAACCGCGAUUAUUGGGCCUAAAGCGUCCGUAGCCGGUUUGAUAAAUCUUUUGUGAAAUUGUCCAGCUUAACUGGUCACCGUGCAAGAGACACUGUCGAACUUGAGACCGGGAGGAGUCAGAAGUAUUCCAGAGGGAGCGGUAAAAUGUUAUAAUCUCUGGAGGACUACCUGUGGCGAAGGCGUCUGACCAGAACGGAUCUGACGGUGAGGGACGAAAGCUAGGGGAGCGAACCGGAUUAGAUACCCGAGUAGUCC
This 271-nucleotide ribosomal RNA is filed under the name uncultured archaeon. RNAcentral's name for it is "partial 16S ribosomal RNA". It matches the Rfam family "Archaeal small subunit ribosomal RNA", at positions 477 to 747 of the family's 1478-position model. The record is from RNAcentral.